UGGUAAUGACAGUGCAUUUUUAAAACAACACUUGCUCAGAAUUCUAUAAACACGAUCGUGAAAAUAAAAAACUAAAAAAAAAUGUUAUGGCUGAAAUGCUAUCGACGAAAAAGCGUCGUAGUAUGCAAACAGUUGCUAUGAUCAAAAGUAUUAUUAAUAUGUAAUAAGGAACGAGAUUUUAGUUUACCGUAAACCAUCGACUUGACUAUUUGAGUUGUUUCAAACUUACGGCGAUACAGUACAACACACACAUACGUCUUCGUGCACCGUUGUUUCCGAUCGGUUCGUAUAACCUUUCCGGCUAAGACUUCAGGAAGCACAAGUGCUACUCAAGUACACUACUUCUAUUCGUAUAUAGCUAUUUUACUCGAAUGCGAGACGCCAUGGAUUCACUACCAUACGCAUCAGUAUGGGACCUGGGGUUGCCAGCAACACCAGCGGACAUGAGCUCUGAGAACGUGAACUACGGCCUCAGCGACAUGGUCAGGGCCAGUUACUUGGCGAAACUGCGUGAAACGCUUAUGUCCAACAUGAGAGAAAACACUGCGAGUGACCGCGGCUCGGCUGAAGACACAAUGGUCGAAAUGUUCGUGGAAAAGUGUUUGGGCGAGAUGGAAAAGGACGCGUUAAGGAAAUGCAUGGUAGCGGAGAUAUACUGCGAAGCGAUGCGUAAAACGAUAGACGAAGUGAACCACUGCACGGUCACAUCAACGAUCCAUGACCGGCUGAUGACGACGAUCAUAGCGGAAGCUGACAGUAAGAAUCGUGAAACCGCAUCGACGAUUGAGGUCGCUGCUGACGGCGUCGACGAGAAACAGCAAAACUCCUGUGACGACUCGUACCUACUUCAGUUCCCGACGCAGGCACAAGUCUUCGAUCAACAGGACGAACAGGGCAUUAUGACACUCGCCAUCGAGAAUUUCAAGUGCACAUCAAUGUUUCCGGGAUCGAUAUCGGAAGACAUUGUCGAUCCAAGUACCGUGCGACCCGAUAUAAUUAAUAUGGUUAAGAAUGAUAAAGAUCUCAGUGCUAUGGUGGCUACAACGCACGAGUUCCGCAGGAACAUGAAAAGACUACCCCGAGCCAUGCGAGCCCGGGUAGACCAGGAGCUGAACCGGAUGUUUGGUAACUGCCUUGAUCCCGGGUAUCGAUCAAUAUUUUUGUCCAAAGAGGAGGAAUGGAUAAUUUCCUACGAAAGGAUCAUGCUGUUGGUCUCAAACCGCAUGAAACCAUAUUUCGAACACGAGAAAAUCGCCAAAUCCUCCGACUUUGAGAAUAUCGUUCAACUCAUAUCGAGGACCAUGAUGGAUAGCGCCAGCGAUCCGACUGAGAUCACGAUAAACCAAACCAUAGACGGGUUUUUUACCGGGCACCCGUACAAAUCCAUCGAUCAAUUCAUAGCCGCCAAUGGUUAUUUUUUCCAAUCUGAUCGGCCGUUGUAACCGUUCAAACCAAAUGGUGUCUCGAUAAAAUAUACUAAAAUAGUAGUACACAUGUACCGUUUUUGUUAUUAUGACAUACAGCAAUGGCUUUCAUUGCAUUAUUGCUUUUUUCGUCAACUAAGAUUUUGUGAAAUGCACAAGACUUUGCCGGUUGGCUUUGCUGUGACAGCACAUUAAUCAGGCCCGUUGGCCUCAAUUAAGACGACAAUUAUUUAUUGUUAUAUAUAUGAAAUUUAUAUUUUUUGUUAAAUUAAUAUAUUGUAUUAUGAA
Molecule: RNA transcript, 1712 nt
Organism: Sipha flava (yellow sugarcane aphid)
Lineage: Eukaryota; Metazoa; Arthropoda; Insecta; Hemiptera; Aphididae
Exons: 5
Source: RefSeq, a predicted model, not a curated record